AUACGGAGGAUGCAAGCGUUAUCCGGAUUUAUUGGGUUUAAAGGGUGCGUAGGCGGUUUGCUAAGCGGGAGGUGAAAUGCCGGCGCUCAACGUCGGAAGUGCCUCCCGAACAGGUGGACUUGAAUGACUCUGCCGUGGGAGGAAUGUGUAGUGUAGCGGUGAAAUGCUUAGAGAUUACACAGAACACCGAUUGCGAAGGCAUCUCACGAAGGGUUGAUUGACGCUGAGGCACGAAAGCGUGGGGAUCAAACAGGAUUAGAUACCCUGGUAGUCCACGCAGUAAACGAUGAUGGCUAACCGCUGGGCUUAUCAGUUCAGUGGCCAAGCGAAAGCGAUAAGCCAUCCACCUGGGGAGUACGACCGCAAGGUUGAAACUCAAAUGAAUUGACGGGG
RNAcentral lists this ribosomal RNA (393 nucleotides) under uncultured bacterium. Its description in RNAcentral is "partial 16S ribosomal RNA". It matches the Rfam family "Bacterial small subunit ribosomal RNA", at positions 523 to 918 of the family's 1533-position model. The record is from RNAcentral.